Small nuclear RNA from Nomascus leucogenys (northern white-cheeked gibbon), 107 nucleotides. The record is from Ensembl. NCBI's taxonomy places the organism in Eukaryota, Metazoa, Chordata, Mammalia, Primates, Hylobatidae.
GUGCUCACUUCAGCAGCACAUAUACUAAAAUUGGAAGGAUACAGAGAAGAUUAGCAUGGUCCUUGCACGAGGAUGAUACGCAAAUUCCUGAAGUGUUCCAUAUUUUU